This 513-nucleotide ribosomal RNA is filed under the name uncultured bacterium. RNAcentral describes it as "bacterial SSU rRNA". It matches the Rfam family "Bacterial small subunit ribosomal RNA", at positions 29 to 517 of the family's 1533-position model. The record is from RNAcentral.
AACGAACGCUGGCGGCGUGCCUCAUACAUGCAAGUCGAACGAGAAAGCCCGGCUUCGGUUGGGUUAGUAAAGUGGCGCACGGGUGCGUAACACGUGAGGAACAUGCCCCUAUGUUGGGGAUAAGCCUGCGAAAGCGGGUCUAAUACCGGAUGUUGUCAUUGGAUCGCAUGGUUCGAUGAUUAAAGGCGGUUGAGUCUAUGCCGCCGCAUAGGGAUUGUCUCGCGGCCCAUUAGCUUGUUGGCGGUGUAAUGGACCACCAAGGCUCCGAUGGGUAGCCGACCUGAGAGGGUGACCGGCCACACUGGGACUGAGAUACGGCCCAGACUCCUACGGGAGGCAGCAGUAGGGAAUAUUGGACAAUGGGGGAAACCCUGAUCCAGCAACGCCGCGUGGAUGAUGAAGCUUUUUGGAGUGUAAAAUCCUGUCAGUGGGGACGAAACGUCCGGGUAGGAAAUGACCCGGGCCUGACUGUACCCGCAGAGGAAGUUCCGGCCAACUCCGUGCCAGCAGCCG